Molecule: ribosomal RNA, 465 nt
Filed under: uncultured bacterium
Lineage: Bacteria
Description: partial 16S ribosomal RNA
Rfam family: Bacterial small subunit ribosomal RNA
Source: RNAcentral
GACGAACGCUGGCGGCGUGCUUAACACAUGCAAGUCGAACGGAAAGGCCCUGCUUGCAGGGUACUCGAGUGGCGAACGGGUGAGUAACACGUGGGUGAUCUGCCCUGCACUUCGGGAUAAGCCUGGUCAACUGGGUCUAAUACCGGAUAGGAGACAUUUUGAGUGUGAUGGUUGGAAAGUUUUGUCGGUGUAGGAUGAGAUCGCGGCCUAUCAGCUUGUUGGUGGGGUAAUGGCCUACCAAGGCGGCGACGGGUAGCCGGCCGGAGAGGGUGGACGGCCACAUUGGGACUGAGAUACGGCCCAGACUCCUACGGGAGGCAGCAGUGGGGAAUAUUGCACAAUGGGCGCAAGCCUGAUGCAGCGACGCCGCGUGGGGGAUGACGGCCUUCGGGUUGUAAACUCCUUUCGCUAGGGACGAAGCUUUUUGUGACGGUACCUAGAUAAGAAGCACCGGCUAACUACGUG